UACGUAGGGGGCUAGCGUUGUCCGGAAUCAUUGGGCGUAAAGAGCGCGUAGGCGGCUAGAUAAGUCCGGUGUGAAAGUCACAGGCUCAACCUGUGAAUGCCGCUGGAAACUGUCUGGCUAGAGUCCGGAAGGGGCGAGUGGAAUUCCUGGUGUAGCGGUGAAAUGCGCAGAUAUCAGGAAGAACACCCGUGGCUAAGGCGGCUCUCUAGUACGGUACUGAUGCUGAGACGCGAAAGCGUGGGGAGCGAACAGG
Molecule: ribosomal RNA, 253 nt
Filed under: uncultured bacterium
Lineage: Bacteria
Description: partial 16S ribosomal RNA
Rfam family: Bacterial small subunit ribosomal RNA
Source: RNAcentral